GACGAACGCUGGCGGCGUGCCUAAUACAUGCAAGUGGGACGCAAGGAAACACACUGUGCUUGCACACCGUGUUUUCUUGAGUCGCGAACGGGUGAGUAACGCGUAGGUAACCUGCCUAUUAGCGGGGGAUAACUAUUGGAAACGAUAGCUAAUACCGCAUAAUAUUAAUUAUUGCAUGAUAAUUGAUUGAAAGAUGCAAGCGCAUCACUAGUAGAUGGACCCGCGUUGUAUUAGCUAGUUGGUAAGGUAAGAGCUUACCAAGGCGACGAUACAUAGCCGACCUGAGAGGGUGAUCGGCCACACUGGGACUGAGACACGGCCCAGACUCCUACGGGAGGCAGCAGUAGGGAAUCUUCGGCAAUGGACGAAAGUCUGACCGAGCAACGCCGCGUGAGUGAAGAAGGUUUUCGGAUCGUAAAGCUCUGUUGUAAGUCAAGAACGUGUGUGAGAGUGGAAAGUUCACACAGUGACGGUAGCUUACCAGAAAGGGACGGCUAACUACGUG
Molecule: ribosomal RNA, 505 nt
Filed under: uncultured bacterium
Lineage: Bacteria
Description: partial 16S ribosomal RNA
Rfam family: Bacterial small subunit ribosomal RNA
Source: RNAcentral